RNAcentral lists this ribosomal RNA (755 nucleotides) under uncultured Acidobacteriota bacterium. RNAcentral's name for it is "bacterial SSU rRNA". It matches the Rfam family "Bacterial small subunit ribosomal RNA", at positions 61 to 812 of the family's 1533-position model. Lineage: Bacteria; Pseudomonadati; Acidobacteriota. The record is from RNAcentral.
GUCGAACGCGCAGCAUUCUGUAGCAAUACAGGGUGUGGGCGCGUGGCGAACGGGUGCGUAACACGUGGAUAACCUUCCUUCAGGUGGGGAAUAACCCAGUGAAAACUGGGCUAAUACCGCAUAACAUGACGAUGGCACAUGCCGUUGUCUUCAAAGGCGCAAGUCGCCAGAAGAGGGAUCCGCGGCCGAUUAGCUUGUUGGCGAGGUAAUGGCUCACCAAGGCAUUGAUCGGUAGCCGGACUGAGAGGUUGGCCGGCCACACUGGAACUGAGACACGGUCCAGACUCCUACGGGAGGCAGCAGUGGGGAAUCUUGCACAAUGGACGAAAGUCUGAUGCAGCAACGCCGCGUGGGGGAUGAAGCUUCUCGGAGUGUAAACCCCUUUCGACCCGGAAGAAUGCCCGCAAGGGUUUGACGGUACGGGUAUAAGAAGCCCCGGCUAACUACGUGCCAGCAGCCGCGGUAAUACGUAGGGGGCCAGCGUUGCUCGGAAUUACUGGGCGUAAAGGGUCUGUAGGCGGUGCGGCAAGUCGAUAGUGAAAUCCCUAGGCUUAACCUAGGGGCUGCUAGCGAAACUGCCGUGCUAGAGUGUGAGAGAGGCGAGUGGAAUUACGGGUGUAGCGGUGAAAUGCGUAGAUAUCCGUAGGAACAUCCGAGGCGAAAGCGGCUCGCUGGAUCACAACUGACGCUGAGAGACGAAAGCUAGGGGAGCAAACAGGAUUAGAUACCCUGGUAGUCCUAGCCCUAAACCAUCA